Molecule: ribosomal RNA, 440 nt
Filed under: Stilpnodiscus moellendorffi
Lineage: Eukaryota; Metazoa; Mollusca; Gastropoda; Stylommatophora; Camaenidae
Also listed under: 1 other name
Description: partial large subunit ribosomal RNA
Rfam family: Archaeal large subunit ribosomal RNA
Source: RNAcentral
CAAAAACAUAACUAUAUGUAUUUAUAUAUAGCUAUUUCUGCUCAAUGAUAUUUAAAUAGCCGCAGUAAUUUGACUGUGCAAAGGUAGCAUAAUCAAUUGACUUAUAAUUGAAGUCUCGUAUGAAGGAACACAUGGGGAUUAACUGUAUCUUGAAUGAUAUUUAAAAUUACUUAAUGAGUGAAAAUUCUCAUAAUUAAAUAAUAGACGAGAAGACCCUAGAAAUUUUUAAUAUAUAUUAAAAAUUUAUUUUUGUUGGGGCGACAAAGUAGCAAUUAAACCUACUUUAAUUAAUCUGAUUAUAAUGAUAAGAUAAAAUAAAUUACUCUAGGGAUAACAGCAUAAUAUUUGAAAGUUUGUGACCUCGAUGUUGGACUAGGGACUAAUAGCCCAGAAGGCUACUUAUUUUGCUCUGUUCGAGCAAUUAUUCCUACGUGAUCUGA